GGGUGAUUAGCUCAGUGGUAGAGCGCUACUUUAGCAUAGUAGAGGCCAGGGGUUCAACUCCCCUAUCAUCCA
This is a transfer RNA of Tritrichomonas foetus, 72 nucleotides long. It matches the Rfam family "tRNA". Rfam says of the family: Transfer RNA (tRNA) molecules are approximately 80 nucleotides in length. Their secondary structure includes four short double-helical elements and three loops (D, anti-codon, and T loops). Lineage: Eukaryota; Parabasalia; Tritrichomonadida; Tritrichomonadidae. The record is from Rfam.